Long non-coding RNA from Octopus sinensis (East Asian common octopus), 115 nucleotides. RefSeq lists it as uncharacterized. The record is from RefSeq and is a predicted model, not a curated record. Lineage: Eukaryota; Metazoa; Mollusca; Cephalopoda; Octopoda; Octopodidae. The transcript has 2 exons.
AAAGUUUAAAAUAUAUACAUUAAUAAAAAUAGAUACAGUUAAUUUUUUUCAGUAUAUUUAUUUAUACAAUGAAUGAGAUUUUUAUAUAGAAAUUAUGAAUUAUAAUUGGAUAAAU